UAGCAGAGGGUGCGAGCGUUAAUCGGAAUUACUGGGCGUAAAGCGCGCGUAGGCGGCUUUGCAAGUCGGGUGUGAAAUCCCCAGGCUUAACCUGGGAACUGCAUUCGAGACUGCAUUGCUAGAGUAUGGGAGAGGGAAGUGGAAUUUCAGGUGUAGCGGUGAAAUGCGUAGAUAUCUGAAGGAACAUCAGUGGCGAAAGCGACUUCCUGGACCAAUACUGACGCUCAUGUGCGAAAGCGUGGGGAGCAAACAGG
Molecule: ribosomal RNA, 254 nt
Filed under: uncultured bacterium
Lineage: Bacteria
Description: partial 16S ribosomal RNA
Rfam family: Bacterial small subunit ribosomal RNA
Source: RNAcentral